GACGAACGCUGGCGGCGUGCUUAACACAUGCAAGUCGAACGGAAAGGCCCUGCUUUUGUGGGGUGCUCGAGUGGCGAACGGGUGAGUAACACGUGAGUAACCUGCCCUUGACUUUGGGAUAACUUCAGGAAACUGGGGCUAAUACCGGAUAGGGGCUCCUGCUGCAUGGUGGGGGUUGGAAAGUUUCGGCGGUUGGGGAUGGACUCGCGGCUUAUCAGCUUGUUGGUGGGGUAGUGGCUUACCAAGGCUUUGACGGGUAGCCGGCCUGAGAGGGUGACCGGCCACAUUGGGACUGAGAUACGGCCCAGACUCCUACGGGAGGCAGCAGUGGGGAAUAUUGCACAAUGGGCGGAAUCCUGAUGCAGCAACGCCGCGUGCUGGAUGACGGCCUUCGGGUUGUAAACCGCUUUCGCCUGUGACGAAGCGUGAGUGACGGUAAUGGGUAAAGAAGCACCGGCUAACUACGUG
This 468-nucleotide ribosomal RNA is filed under the name uncultured bacterium. RNAcentral describes it as "partial 16S ribosomal RNA". It matches the Rfam family "Bacterial small subunit ribosomal RNA", at positions 28 to 507 of the family's 1533-position model. The record is from RNAcentral.